RNAcentral lists this small nuclear RNA (190 nucleotides) under Castor canadensis (American beaver). RNAcentral's name for it is "U2 spliceosomal RNA (ENSCCNG00000004385.1)". It matches the Rfam family "U2 spliceosomal RNA". Rfam says of the family: U2 is a small nuclear RNA (snRNA) component of the spliceosome (involved in pre-mRNA splicing). Complementary binding between U2 snRNA (in an area lying towards the 5' end but 3' to hairpin I) and the branchpoint sequence (BPS) of the intron results the bulging out of an unpaired adenosine, on the BPS, which initiates a nucleophilic attack at the intronic 5' splice site, thus starting the first of two transesterification reactions that mediate splicing. Lineage: Eukaryota; Metazoa; Chordata; Mammalia; Rodentia; Castoridae. The record is from Rfam by way of RNAcentral.
AUCACUUCUCAGCCUUUUGGCUAAGAUCAAGUGUAGUAUCUGUUCUUACCAGCUUAAUUCUGGUACGUCCUGUAUUCAAGGACAAUGUAUUAAAUGGAUUUUUGGAACAGGGAGAUGGAAUAAGAACUUGCUUCGUCCACUCCACGCACUGACCUGGUAUUGCAGUCCCUCCAGGAAUUGUGCACACAAA